RNAcentral lists this transfer RNA (89 nucleotides) under Veillonella sp. RNAcentral's name for it is "tRNA-Leu". It matches the Rfam family "tRNA". From Rfam's summary of the family: Transfer RNA (tRNA) molecules are approximately 80 nucleotides in length. Their secondary structure includes four short double-helical elements and three loops (D, anti-codon, and T loops). Further hydrogen bonds mediate the characteristic L-shaped molecular structure. tRNAs have two regions of fundamental functional importance: the anti-codon, which is responsible for specific mRNA codon recognition, and the 3' end, to which the tRNAs corresponding amino acid is attached (by aminoacyl-tRNA synthetases). tRNAs cope with the degeneracy of the genetic code in two manners: having more than one tRNA (with a specific anti-codon) for a particular amino acid; and 'wobble' base-pairing, i.e. permitting non-standard base-pairing at the 3rd anti-codon position. The record is from RNAcentral. Lineage: Bacteria; Bacillati; Bacillota; Negativicutes; Veillonellales; Veillonellaceae.
GCCGGGGUGGCGGAAUAGGCAGACGCAACGGACUUAAAAUCCGUCGGUUAGAAAUAACCGUACCGGUUCGAUUCCGGUCCUCGGCACCA